GUCUUUUUGAAUUUUAUAAAAAGUCAGGCCUGCCCACUGAAAUAUAUUUAAAGGCUGCGGUAUUUUGACCGUACAAAGGUAGCAUAAUCAUUAGUUUUUUAAUUGGGGACUAGAAUGAAUGGUUAAAUGAAAUAUUGACUUUUUUAAUUAAAUAAUAGAAUUUUACUUUUUAAUUAAAAGGUUGAGAUAAAUUUAAAAGACGAGAAGACCCUAUAGAGUUUAAUAAUUAUUUUUUUUUGUUUUAUUUAGUAAAAUUUAUUAUAUAUAAAUAUAAUUAUUUUGUUGGGGUGAUAAUAAAAUUUAAUAAACUUUUAUUUAUUUAUACAUUAAUAAAUGAUUAUUUGAUCCAUUUUUAAUGAUUAAAAAUUUAAAUUACCUUAGGGAUAACAGCGUAAUUUUUUUUUAAGUUCUUAUUAAUAAAAAAUUUUGCGACCUCGAUGUUGGAUUAAGAGUUAAUUUUAGGUGCAGCAGUUUAAAAUUUAAGUCUGUUCGACUUUUAAAUUCUU
Molecule: ribosomal RNA, 506 nt
Filed under: Corynoptera tetrachaeta
Lineage: Eukaryota; Metazoa; Arthropoda; Insecta; Diptera; Sciaridae
Description: partial small subunit ribosomal RNA
Source: RNAcentral